Gossypium hirsutum (cotton) is the source of this 135-nucleotide non-coding RNA. Lineage: Eukaryota; Viridiplantae; Streptophyta; Magnoliopsida; Malvales; Malvaceae. The record is from Rfam.
UGUUAAGAUUUUUAUCUAUUUUUACUAUUAAAAAUCGGUCCCUGUAAGUCAGCAUAAGAUACAUGUAAUAUGUCAAGUAUUACUGUUUAGUUAUUCUGUAUUUUUUAACAAUAAAAAUGAAUAAAAAUUUUAAUA